RNAcentral lists this ribosomal RNA (805 nucleotides) under uncultured beta proteobacterium. Its description in RNAcentral is "bacterial SSU rRNA". It matches the Rfam family "Bacterial small subunit ribosomal RNA", at positions 58 to 856 of the family's 1533-position model. The record is from RNAcentral. Lineage: Bacteria; Pseudomonadati; Pseudomonadota; Betaproteobacteria.
CAAGUCGAGCGGCAGCGCGGGGCAACCUGGCGGCGAGCGGCGAACGGGUGAGUAAUGCAUCGGAACAUGUCCAUGUCGUGGGGGAUAGCCCGGCGAAAGCCGGAUUAAUACCGCAUACGCCCGAGAGGGGAAAGUGGGGGACUCGAAAGGGCCUCACGCGAUUGGGUUGGCCGAUGUCCGAUUAGCUAGUUGGUGGGGUAAAGGCUUACCAAGGCGAUGAUCGGUAGCUGGUCUGAGAGGAUGAUCAGCCACACUGGGACUGAGACACGGCCCAGACUCCUACGGGAGGCAGCAGUGGGGAAUUUUGGACAAUGGGGGCAACCCUGAUCCAGCCAUUCCGCGUGAGUGAAGAAGGCCUUCGGGUUGUAAAGCUCUUUUGUCCGGAACGAAACGGUGAGCGUGAAUAUCGCUCGCUACUGACGGUACCGGAAGAAUAAGCACCGGCUAACUACGUGCCAGCAGCCGCGGUAAUACGUAGGGUGCGAGCGUUAAUCGGAAUUACUGGGCGUAAAGCGUGCGCAGGCGGUUUUGUAAGCCAGAUGUGAAAUCCCCGGGCUUAACCUGGGAAUGGCAUUUGGGACUGCAAGGCUGGAGUGCGGCAGAGGAGACUGGAAUUCCUGGUGUAGCAGUGAAAUGCGUAGAUAUCAGGAGGAAUACCGAUGGCGAAGGCAGGUCUCUGGGCUGACACUGACGCUCAUGCACGAAAGCGUGGGGAGCAAACAGGAUUAGAUACCCUGGUAGUCCACGCCCUAAACGAUGUCGACUGGUUGUUGGGGGGUUUGACACUCUCAGUAACGAAGCUAAC